UACGUAGGGUGCGAGCGUUGUCCGGAGUUACUGGGCUUAAAGCGCUUGUAGGCGGUCCACCAAGUUUGGGGUGACAGUUGCCGACUUAAUCGGCAAAGUGCCUCAAAGACUGGCGGACUUGAGGGCCACAGAGGGACAUGGAACUCCAGGUGUAGUGGUGAAAUGCGUAGAUAUCUGGAAGAACACCAAAGGCGAAGGCAGUGUCCUGGGUGGUCGCUGACGCUGAGAGGCGAAAGCCAGGGGAGCGAACGGG
RNAcentral lists this ribosomal RNA (253 nucleotides) under uncultured bacterium. Its description in RNAcentral is "partial 16S ribosomal RNA". It matches the Rfam family "Bacterial small subunit ribosomal RNA", at positions 524 to 776 of the family's 1533-position model. The record is from RNAcentral.